Molecule: unclassified non-coding RNA, 1712 nt
Filed under: Hevea brasiliensis (rubber tree)
Lineage: Eukaryota; Viridiplantae; Streptophyta; Magnoliopsida; Malpighiales; Euphorbiaceae
Source: RNAcentral
UAUUUUACAGAGCAACCUAUUUUCAUCCUCGCAGGUCCACUUGAGAAACGCUAUUUCUAAUCCUUUGCACCUUCCAAAGAAAUAAAGACAAACCCAAGAAAAAGAGCAAUGGUGGUUAGAGAGUCUGAAGAGAUCUCCCAAGAUGAGGUGGAGUCGCCAUUGCAGUCUGACCACCAUCUUAGAAACCACCCUUUCUUGUCUCUUGGCAGGCAAUCCUCCAUUUAUUCUCUUACACUCGAGGAGUUUCAGCAUACCCUUUGCGAAAGUGGGAAGAAUUUUGGGUCCAUGAACAUGGACGAGUUCCUUGCCAGCAUCUGGAAUGCGGAGGAACAUCAAGCUACUGCUGCCAUUACCAACAAUGAUCAGAUCAACAAUAGUAACUGUAAUAAUAGGGGAAAUCAGGGAUUCAAUGAUGUGUCUGAUGAUAAAGCAAUAUCUAAGCAGCCCAGUUUGCCGAGACAAGGAUCGCUUAGCUUGCCUGCGCCCUUGUGUAGGAAAACUGUGGAUGAAGUUUGGUCUGAGAUACACAGAGAGCUGCAGCAGAACCACCACCACCAAGGACAGGGACGAAGUAAUGGUAAUAAUAUGCAGAAUCCUAAGUCUGCUGCUGCUCGUCGGCCGACUUUUGGGGAGAUGACUUUAGAGGAUUUCCUGAUCAAGGCAGGGGUGGUAAGAGAGCAAUGUCCUGCACCUUCACUACCACCUCAGCAACCACAGUACGGGUUGUACCAAAGCAAUAACAAUAAUCCUGCCAUGGGGACAGGUUUUGUUUCCAGGCCGAUUCAGGGAAUUGGCGGCAGAGGUGGCGGUGGCGGUGCUGUUAGUUACCAGACAAUGCCACAAGACGCUGGGCCUAUGGGUGAGACAUCAGGGAGGAAUGGCGGGUUCCCUCCGCAGGCGGCAGCGGCAGCAGCAGGUUCAGUUUAUGGGGGAAGAAUGGGGAAUGGUGGUGGAUAUGCGCCAAGUCAGGCAAUGGGGGUUAUGGCACAAGUGAGCCCAGUUUCAUCAGAUGCAAUGGUUUGCAGCAACAUUGAUAAUGCAAAUCAAUUUGGAAUAGAUAUGGGCGAGCUAAGGGGAAGGAAGAGGAUUGUUGAUGGGCCUGUGGAGAAGUUGGUAGAGAGGAGGCAACGGAGGAUGAUCAAGAAUAGAGAGUCGGCUGCAAGGUCCAGAGCUAGAAAACAGGCGUAUACAUUUGAAUUAGAAGCAGAGCUGAACCAACUAAAAGAAGAGAACAACCAGCUUAGGCAUGCUCUGGCAGAGCUUGAGAGGAAAAGAAAACAGCAGUAUCUUGAAGAAUUGAGAAUGAAAGCCCAGACUAAGGCCCAAAAGACUGAAGAGAAAUUGAGGAUGAUGAGAAGGAAUUUUAGCUGUCACCUAUAGCAAUCCUAAGCAAUGAAAUUUGAUGGUGGAAGCUGCACAUAACAAAAUCCAGAAUUCACAAUAGGGGAAAUAAGGGCAAAACAAGAUGAUUAAGGGAAAGCAUGCAUUUGGAACUGAAGAGUGAUGAAUGAAUGCAAUGGAAGGCUCCUUCUAUAUAAACUAUAAUUUAUGAGUAGUUGGAUUUCUAAAAGUCCAGUUAUGUCCAUUCACAAACUUAGUAACAGAAGCUAGCUAGAUUUUCUUUAAUGUAAUUCCUGUGACAUAGUAUGAAUCAAAUGUUCCUUGGAAUGGGAUAAUGCCAAAAUAACUUAAUAUUAUAAAACUUGAGAUUU